AAAAAAGGUAAGCUACUAAGAGCGAAUGGUGGAUGCCUUGACUGGUAAAGGCGAUGAAGGACGUACUAGACUGCGAUAAGCUACGGGGAGCUGUCAAGAAGCUUUGAUCCGUAGAUUUCCGAAUGGGGCAACCCAAUGUAUAGAGAUAUACAUUACCUAUAUAGGAGCGAACGAGGGGAAUUGAAACAUCUUAGUACCCUCAGGAAAAGAAAUCAAUAGAGAUUGCGUCAGUAGCGGCGAGCGAAAGCGCAAGAGGGCAAACCCAGUGCUUGCACUGGGGGUUGUAGGACUGCAAUGUGCAAGAGGUGAGUUUAGCAGAACAUUCUGGAAAGUAUAGCCAUAGAGGGUGAUAGUCCCGUAUGCGAAAAACAAACCUUAGCUAGCAGUAUCCUGAGUAGGGCGGGACACGAGAAAUCCUGUCUGAAGCUGGGUCGACCACGAUCCAACCCUAAAUACUAAUACCAGAUCGAUAGUGCACAAGUACCGUGAGGGAAAGGUGAAAAGAACUGAGGUGAUCAGAGUGAAAUAGAACCUGAAACCAUUUGCUUACAAUCAUUCAGAGCCCUAUGUAGCAAUACAGGGUGAUGGACUGCCUUUUGCAUAAUGAGCCUGCGAGUUGUGGUGUCUGGCAAGGUUAAGCAAACGCGAAGCCGUAGCGAAAGCGAGUCUGAAUAGGGCGCUUAGUCAGAUGCUGCAGACCCGAAACGAAGUGAUCUAUCCAUGAGCAAGUUGAAGCUAGUGUAAGAACUAGUGGAGGACUGAACCCAUAGGCGUUGAAAAGCCCCGGGAUGACUUGUGGAUAGGGGUGAAAGGCCAAUCAAACUUCGUGAUAGCUGGUUCUCUCCGAAAUAUAUUUAGGUAUAGCGUUGUGUCGUAAUAUAAGGGGGUAGAGCACUGAAUGGGCUAGGGCAUACACCAAUGUACCAAACCCUAUCAAACUCCGAAUACCUUAUAUGUAAUCACAGCAGUCAGGCGGCGAGUGAUAAAAUCCGUCGUCAAGAGGGAAACAACCCAGACUACCAGCUAAGGUCCCUAAAUCUUACUUAAGUGGAAAACGAUGUGAAGUUACUUAAACAACCAGGAGGUUGGCUUAGAAGCAGCCAUCCUUUAAAGAAAGCGUAAUAGCUCACUGGUCUAGUGAUUUUGCGCGGAAAAUAUAACGGGGCUAAAGUAAGUACCGAAGCUGUAGACUUGAUUUUAUCAAGUGGUAGGAGAGCGUUCUAUUUGCGUCGAAGGUAUACCGGUAAGGAGUGCUGGAGCGAAUAGAAGUGAGCAUGCAGGCAUGAGUAGCGAUAAUUAAUGUGAGAAUCAUUAACGCCGUAAACCCAAGGUUUCCUACGCGAUGCUCGUCAUCGUAGGGUUAGUCGGGUCCUAAGUCGAGUCCGAAAGGGGUAGACGAUGGCAAAUUGGUUAAUAUUCCAAUACCAACAUUAGUGUGCGAUGGAAGGACGCUUAGGGCUAAGGGGGCUAGCGGAUGGAAGUGCUAGUCUAAGGUCGUAGGAGGUUAUACAGGCAAAUCCGUAUAACAAUACUCCGAGAACUGAAAGGCUUUUUGAAGUCUUCGGAUGGAUAGAAGAACCCCUGAUGCCGUCGAGCCAAGAAAAGUUUCUAAGUUUAGCUAAUGUUGCCCGUACCGUAAACCGACACAGGUGGGUGGGAUGAGUAUUCUAAGGCGCGUGGAAGAACUCUCUUUAAGGAACUCUGCAAAAUAGCACCGUAUCUUCGGUAUAAGGUGUGGUUAGCCUUGUAUUAGGAUUUACUCCGAAAGCAAGGAAACUUACAACAAAGAGUCCCUCCCGACUGUUUACCAAAAACACAGCACUCUGCUAACUCGUAAGAGGAUGUAUAGGGUGUGACGCCUGCCCGGUGCUCGAAGGUUAAUUGAUGGGGUUAGCAUUAGCGAAGCUCUUGAUCGAAGCCCGAGUAAACGGCGGCCGUAACUAUAACGGUCCUAAGGUAGCGAAAUUCCUUGUCGGUUAAAUACCGACCUGCAUGAAUGGCGUAACGAGAUGGGAGCUGUCUCAAAGAGGGAUCCAGUGAAAUUGUAGUGGAGGUGAAAAUUCCUCCUACCCGCGGCAAGACGGAAAGACCCCGUGGACCUUUACUACAGCUUGACACUGCUAUUUGGAUAAGAAUGUGCAGGAUAGGUGGGAGGCUUUGAGUAUAUGACGCCAGUUGUAUAUGAGCCAUUGUUGAGAUACCACUCUUUCUUAUUUGGGUAGCUAACCAGCUUGAGUUAUCCUCAAGUGGGACAAUGUCUGGUGGGUAGUUUGACUGGGGCGGUCGCCUCCCAAAUAAUAACGGAGGCUUACAAAGGUUGGCUCAGAACGGUUGGAAAUCGUUCGUAGAGUAUAAAGGUAUAAGCCAGCUUAACUGCAAGACAUACAAGUCAAGCAGAGACGAAAGUCGGUCUUAGUGAUCCGGUGGUUCUGUGUGGAAGGGCCAUCGCUCAAAGGAUAAAAGGUACCCCGGGGAUAACAGGCUGAUCUCCCCCAAGAGCUCACAUCGACGGGGAGGUUUGGCACCUCGAUGUCGGCUCAUCGCAUCCUGGGGCUGGAGCAGGUCCCAAGGGUAUGGCUGUUCGCCAUUUAAAGCGGUACGCGAGCUGGGUUCAGAACGUCGUGAGACAGUUCGGUCCCUAUCUGCCGUGGGCGUAAGAAGAUUGAAGAGAUUUGACCCUAGUACGAGAGGACCGGGUUGAACAAACCACUGGUGUAGCUGUUGUUCUGCCAAGAGCAUCGCAGCGUAGCUAAGUUUGGAAAGGAUAAACGCUGAAAGCAUCUAAGCGUGAAGCCAACUCUAAGAUGAAUCUUCUCUAAGCUCUCUAGAAGACUACUAGUUUGAUAGGCUGGGUGUGUAAUGGAUGAAAGUCCUUUAGCUGACCAGUACUAAUAGAGCGUUUGGCUUAUCUUUAAUAAAGCAU
RNAcentral lists this ribosomal RNA (2923 nucleotides) under Campylobacter coli. RNAcentral's name for it is "23S ribosomal RNA". It matches the Rfam family "Bacterial large subunit ribosomal RNA". The record is from RNAcentral. Lineage: Bacteria; Pseudomonadati; Campylobacterota; Epsilonproteobacteria; Campylobacterales; Campylobacteraceae.